Molecule: ribosomal RNA, 246 nt
Filed under: uncultured bacterium
Lineage: Bacteria
Description: partial 16S ribosomal RNA
Rfam family: Bacterial small subunit ribosomal RNA
Source: RNAcentral
CGUAGGGGCAAGCGUUGUCCGGAUUCAUUGGGCGUAAAGAGCUCGUAGGCGGUUCAGUAAGUCGGGUGUGAAAGCUCCGAGCUCAACUCGGAGAGGCCACCCGAUACUGCUGUGACUUGAGUCCAGUAGAGGAGCGUGGAACUCCUGGUGUAGCGGUGGAAUGCGCAGAUAUCAGGAAGAACACCUGCAGCGAAGGCGGCGCUCUGGGCUGGAACUGACGCUGAGGAGCGAAAGCGUGGGUAGCAA